Drosophila albomicans is the source of this 1640-nucleotide RNA transcript. It is a transcript of the gene named protein immune deficiency, with no coding region annotated. The transcript is spliced from 3 exons. Lineage: Eukaryota; Metazoa; Arthropoda; Insecta; Diptera; Drosophilidae. The record is from RefSeq and is a predicted model, not a curated record.
UCACAACAAAGAGACUGUUGAGCGAGUGGUUUUCGUUUAGUUGUUUUUUUUUAUUAUUUUGCACGGAAAAUACCCGUUCUCUGGCAUUUCCGAAAGUCUUAUCUAUUAAUAGCAAACAUGCCGAAGCUAAAGAGUUUGCUGCCCAACAUCUUUGGCGGCAACACCAACAACAGCAACAACACACCAUCGGAGGGACGACUAGAAACAGAUGCAUUACCAGUUGAUGAGAAUGAAGAUAACAAUAAUAGUGGCGCUUUGUCACUGCCUUCGCAGACGCCAACGGCAUCAGCUGACCUAACCGAAUCCGUGCUGCGCGAACUCUCCGAUCCCAACUACAACUCGAUGGAUGUGGUGCAGUCCGCACAAAUUCCAGGCUCCGCCCUGGUCAACAGCAGCAGCACCAGCAGUAACAGCAACACCAUGAAUACAAUGAAUGUGCAUAGUGCGCAGCAACAGGUGGUCAUGAACUUCUCGAAUGCGAGCAACUUACACUUUGGCUCCGUUUAUAAUUUCAAUCAAAAUCUAAGCGCCUCCAGCUCUCGCAAGAGCAGCACAAGCGCCACCGAUGAGGGCGCCAUAGCAGCGUUGCAAUCACCAGAUGGAAAGCGACACUUGCCACGCAAAACCGUUAGCAUUGUGGCAAUGAUGCAGUCGCAAGACGAACCAGAUAUGCGCAUCCUGGACGCAGUAGCCACACAUCUGGGUGAGGGCUGGAAGCAGAUAAUGCGCGAACUCGGACAUUCCGAAGGGCAGAUCGAACAGGCGAUUAUAGAUCAUCAGGCGCAUGGCAACAUCAAAGAGGUGAUCUACCAAUUGUUGUUGCAGUGGGUGCGUGGCGCAGACGAUGGCGUCGCCACCGUUGGACGGCUGACAACACUGCUGUGGGAGCAGCAGCAUCGCGAGUGUGUGCAGCGCAUGAAACUGGUUUGGAAAGCGCUUGAGAAACGUAAAACCUCCAGUUAGCUGCUAAUCAAUUAAUUGCUGUGCUUCCCCCAAAUCAAUGUAUGAACCAAACAGGGCAUUUUUAAACGGCGAUUCAUUCGAAGCAAAGAACUCUUUGAUGUUCGUCUUCUUUAUGAUAGUAUGUGUUCUCCACCCUCGCUCUCCUCGUCCCUCAACAUCACAGCACAUACUAUAUAUGUAUACAUAUACACAUCUUACUAACGCACGUUGAAACGUUUUCAAGUACAUAGUUUGCGAUCUCAGCAAACAAGCAAUCCAUUUGUGCAAUAACUUUUGUGUGUGAACAUUUUCGACCAAAACGGAAUCGGCAUUGUAUAAAUAUAUGAUACAAUAUAACCUUCGAAUAAGUGCCUUGAAGUCUAUCCUCAAACGAACUUGAUUUUUUCCUCUUCUGUAAAAUGUGAUAUUUAAGUCGAACGCUACACAAAAGCAACACAAUAUUGUUAUGCAAAGAUUCAAACAAUCUUUGUGAUCUUUGCACUAAACAUAUCAAUCAACAUUUGCGCUCCAUUGCCAUUAUUCGACUGAUAAUCCGGCAGCUGUUCCAUGCGCUCCAGCCAGCCACUAAGCUUUGGAUAUUUGUCCUGCUCAAUGGCCGCCAAACCCACCAGGCUGGACACCGAGGACACCACACUGUAGUCCGCAAUGGUCAAACUGUUGCCACACAGAUACUUUUG